Molecule: ribosomal RNA, 492 nt
Filed under: uncultured bacterium
Lineage: Bacteria
Description: partial 16S ribosomal RNA
Rfam family: Bacterial small subunit ribosomal RNA
Source: RNAcentral
AGUGAACGCUGGCGGUAGGCCUAACACAUGCAAGUCGAACGGCAGCACAGUAAGAGCUUGCUCUUACGGGUGGCGAGUGGCGGACGGGUGAGGAAUACAUCGGAAUCUACUUUUUCGUGGGGGAUAACGUAGGGAAACUUACGCUAAUACCGCAUACGACCUACGGGUGAAAGCAGGGGACCUUCGGACCUUGCGCGAUUGAAUGAGCCGAUGUCGGAUUAGCUAGUUGGCGGGGUAAAGGCCCACCAAGGCGACGAUCCGUAGCUGGUCUGAGAGGAUGAUCAGCCACACUGGAACUGAGACACGGUCCAGACUCCUACGGGAGGCAGCAGUGGGGAAUAUUGGACAAUGGGCGCAAGCCUGAUCCAGCCAUACCGCGUGGGUGAAGAAGGCCUUCGGGUUGUAAAGCCCUUUUGUUGGGAAAGAAAAGCAGCAGAUUAAUACCCCGCUGUUCUGACGGUACCCAAAGAAUAAGCACCGGCUAACUUCGUG